UUGCAGGCUGCAACCCGCCUGUAUGAAGUUGGAAUCGCUAGUAAUCGCGGAUCAGCAUGCCGCGGUGAAUACGUUCCCGGGCCUUGUACACACCGCCCGUCACACCAUGAGAGUCGGGAACACCCGAAGUCCGUAGUCUAACUUUCACGAGAGGACGCGGCCGAAGGUGGGUUCGAUAAUUGGGGGUGAAGUCGUAACAAGGUACC
This 206-nucleotide ribosomal RNA is filed under the name uncultured bacterium. RNAcentral's name for it is "partial 16S ribosomal RNA". It matches the Rfam family "Bacterial small subunit ribosomal RNA", at positions 1298 to 1500 of the family's 1533-position model. The record is from RNAcentral.